Molecule: ribosomal RNA, 447 nt
Filed under: uncultured bacterium
Lineage: Bacteria
Description: bacterial SSU rRNA
Rfam family: Bacterial small subunit ribosomal RNA
Source: RNAcentral
UGGGGAAUAUUGGACAAUGGGCGAAAGCCUGAUCCAGCCAUGCCGCGUGAGUGACGAAGGCCUUAGGGUUGUAAAACUCUUUCGUCGGGGACGAUAAUGACGGUACCCGAAUAAGAAGCUCCGGCUAACUUCGUGCCAGCAGCCGCGGUAAUACGAAGGGAGCUAGCGUUGUUCGGAAUCACUGGGCGUAAAGCGCACGUAGGCGGAUAGUUAAGUCAGGGGUGAAAUCCUGGGGCGCAACCCCAGAACUGCCUUUGAUACUGGCUGUCUCGAGGUCGAGAGAGGUUGGUGGAAUUCCUAGUGUAGAGGUGAAAUUCGUAGAUAUUAGGAAGAACACCAGUGGCGAAGGCGGCCAACUGGCUCGAUACUGACGCUGAGGUGCGAAAGCGUGGGGAGCAAACAGGAUUAGAUACCCACGUAGUCCCUGAGCGGGCUGGCAAGGCGCAU